GCGAUGAUUUGAUUGAUUGUGAGCUGUAACUACGGGAAACUGUAGGUAAGGCGGGUAGUGUAAGGAUAUGUGAGUUGAGUAAGUUGCANACCUAUCAACUGGUAGUUAGGGUAAUGGCCUAACUAGGUGGCGACGGGAGACGGGGGAUUAGGGUUUGAUUCCGGAGAGGGAGCCUGAGAGAUGGCUACUACGUCCAAGGAUGGCAGCAGGCGCGAAACUUGCCUAAUCUUUUGUAGUAGGAGGCAGUGAUGAGACGUGAAUUUAGUGGUGCAUUGUAAAGAGAUGUACUGGUAUUGGAGGGCAAGUCGGGUGCCAGCA
This 318-nucleotide ribosomal RNA is filed under the name Microsporidium sp. RNAcentral describes it as "SSU rRNA". It matches the Rfam family "Microsporidia small subunit ribosomal RNA", at positions 99 to 398 of the family's 1311-position model. The record is from RNAcentral. Lineage: Eukaryota; Fungi; Microsporidia.